GACGAACGCUGGCGGCGUGCUUAACACAUGCAAGUCGAACGGAACGGCCCUGCUUUUGUGGGGUGCUCGAGUGGCGAACGGGUGAGUAACACGUGAGUACCCUGCCCUUGACUUUGGGAUAACUUCAUGCCACUGGGGCUAAUACCGGAUAGGAGCUCCUGCUGCAUGGUGGGGGUUGGAAAGUUUCGGCGGUUGGGGAUGGACUCGCGGCGUAUCAGCUUGUUCGAUGGGUAGUGGCUUACCAAGGCCUUGAAGGGUAGCCGGGCUGGGCGGGGAACCUGCCAAGUUGGGACUGGAAUGCGACACAGACUCCAACCGGAGGGGGGGGUGGGGAAUGUAGCACAAUGGGCUGAAGGCUAGUGCAGCCACGCCGCGUGGGGGAAGACAGCCAGCGGGUUGUGUACCGCAUUCCCCUGUGACGAAGCGUUAAUGACAGUAAUGGGAGAAUAGGCACCGGCUAACUACGUG
RNAcentral lists this ribosomal RNA (468 nucleotides) under uncultured bacterium. Its description in RNAcentral is "partial 16S ribosomal RNA". It matches the Rfam family "Bacterial small subunit ribosomal RNA", at positions 28 to 507 of the family's 1533-position model. The record is from RNAcentral.